Molecule: long non-coding RNA, 872 nt
Organism: Homo sapiens (human)
Lineage: Eukaryota; Metazoa; Chordata; Mammalia; Primates; Hominidae
Exons: 3
Source: RefSeq, a predicted model, not a curated record
GGCACUUCCCUGUGGGAAAUCAAGUUUCAUUUGACUUAGAAAAACAGUUAAGUGAUGCCUCCUGCCCUCACUGGGGUGUCCUUUUUACCCCGGGCACUUCUCCUGGGCUCCUGCGCUCCUGGCGCUGAGGUAAGAGGAGACACACGCAACCUUGCUGGCCUGGCCAGGAGGAGCCCACAGCCGUCAUUUCAGACAGAGGAACCUGAGCCGGACGUGAACCUGGGUUCAGACACUGCCGUUGCUGUGGGUGAGCGGCUGUUCUGCCUGUGGAGCAGCAUCGGGUGGGUGGUUGCCUGGCACCGUGACUGUUAGGAGAACUUCUGCAUGGCCGGGGUGUACUUUAUGGGGGGUGCGGCCCCCUGUAAUCGCUCUGCAGUCUGGGCACCCUGUGAUGGGGGCCUGGUCCUCAUCUGCGGCUGCCUCGGCUGGCUCCGAUGUGAGCCAAGUUGGGAUCUUUCCAGAGACCCCUCAAUUCGGGACUUCCUCCAAAGGACACAUCUUCCGACACUGGAAGAAGCUUUCAAAAGAGCUCCCCAAAGGAUCCCAUCCAGGGUGCCGCAUCCCAUUCAGUCGUCAUGUCUCCUAGGCUGCUCUGGUCUGUGACAGUUUCUUACUGUUCCUUGCUUUUGAUGAACUUGACCGCUUUGGGGAGUACAACUCCAAUGUUUUGCGAAAUGCCCUCCGAUCUGAGUAUGUCUGAUGUUUUCAUCAUGGUUAGACCAGGAUGAUGGGUUUCUGUCACGUCGUAUCAGUAGAGGGUACAUGAUACCCACAUGGCCUUGUUUUUACUUUUAAGAAAUUCUGGAAAUGUCAACAAUACUGCAUAUUUCUUAUGGGAUGUGUAUCUGUAUCUCAGCCAUCGUAUGUGGUAA